RNAcentral lists this unclassified non-coding RNA (731 nucleotides) under Bombus terrestris (buff-tailed bumblebee). RNAcentral describes it as "misc RNA ENSBTSG00005034178.1". The record is from RNAcentral. Lineage: Eukaryota; Metazoa; Arthropoda; Insecta; Hymenoptera; Apidae.
CCUGCGGAGAUGCGCCCACGCGCGCGUGGCGCGAAUCUGAUUCAAAAUUCCACGGAGUGUAUAUUGAUUCAGCUGAAUUAACACUUAACACGUUCGCGCAGCGUGCCGGCGUGGCGCGGCGCGGCGCGGCGGCGGCCACGCACGUCGCUUCGUGGAACGCCUCGCGUUUGUGAACCGCGAUCUCUCGAGGCCGUCUCUGUUUAGGAGUUGCUGACAGAGCCAUGAGGCAACGAGCGUUGCGCUAUUCGAACCGGAGGAAAUCGAACAAGCUCUAAAUUCAACGGAACAACUCACAUGCGGCCUAAAAAAGAUCUGAAAAAAGAAGAACAAUGUGUACGAUGCUCUACAGACGUAAUUGGAAAAUCUAGGCGGAAAUGUAAGCGGUUCAAAGGCUCGACCGCCCUCGUUGGAGCAAUUCUGCGCCCUCAGGGACCAGCAGGCCACAAACUGCAGUUUUUCGAAUCCGGGAGCCCCGAGGGGUAGUAAGGUGAAGCGUAUCCGCGAGUGCGGUGGUCUUCCAUUCCGGCAAAUGUCCGCCCCACGCGACCUCAAUUUAUUCGACACCUCCCCUCGCCUUCAGCGCUUGGAAACUGCUCCGAAUCUUUUUGGCGCGAGGGAGCAACGCAGUAUGCGUCUCGAAUUCGAUCGAGAACAGACCGAGAAUGGCCAAGGGUGAGCAAAACCCGCGGUACCGGUAUCGUAAAAGAGUUAUUAUGCUAAUGAACAGUGCG